This 492-nucleotide ribosomal RNA is filed under the name uncultured bacterium. RNAcentral's name for it is "partial 16S ribosomal RNA". It matches the Rfam family "Bacterial small subunit ribosomal RNA", at positions 29 to 507 of the family's 1533-position model. The record is from RNAcentral.
AGUGAACGCUGGCGGUAGGCCUAACACAUGCAAGUCGAACGGCAGCACAGUAAGAGCUUGCUCUUACGGGUGGCGAGUGGCGGACGGGUGAGGAAUACAUCGGAAUCUACUUUUUCGUGGGGGAUAACGUAGGGAAACUUACGCUAAUACCGCAUACGACCUACGGGUGAAAGCAGGGGAUCUUCGGACCUUGCGCGAUUGAAUGAGCCGAUGUCGGAUUAGCUAGUUGGCGGGGUAAAGGCCCACCAAGGCGACGAUCCGUAGCUGGUCUGAGAGGAUGAUCAGCCACACUGGAAGUGGGACACGGUCAAGAGUACUACGGGAGGGAGCAGUGGGGAAGAGUGGACAAUGGGGGGAAGCAUGAUCCAGCCAUACCGAGUAGGAGAAGAAGGCCUUCGGGUUGGAAAGCCCUUUUGUUGGGAAAGAAAAGCAGCAGGUUAAUACCCCGCUGGUGUGACGGUACCCAAAGAAUAAGCACCGGCUAACUUCGUG